CACGCUUGCUACAGUGUUGGACCGGCCUGAUAGUCGCCGAUGCUUCGGGCAACAUAUAGGCCUGGCGGUUGGUACCAGCGCGCAGAGCACCCGGAUUUGCCAUCCGUGCGUCCAUCUCCUGAUUCUCCUCCGACUCAUUCGUCGCUGGCGACGGCAGUUUCUAGCGCUUCCAAGUUCCAACGCCGCACCGAGAAGGGAUUUCCUCCGUCUCCCCAGCUGCGCCCCUCGCUUCUAUAGCCUGUACGAGAUCAGCAAGAUUGGUGAAUUGAUCUAGAACAUACACAUCUUCCACAUCCUUCUUCAUCUGUUCUACCCUAUCAAGUAAAGCUUUGAAUCCAUGCUGUACAGCAUCUGCAGGAGACAAGCAUGUUACCAUCUGGCACGUGAUAUGAGGGUCAUGGUACCUCAGGUCCUUACCAACUAAUACCACUUCUACGCCAAGGUAUCGCAUCAGUAUCUGCUUAUCAAGCGAGAGUUUAGCAGGCAUGAGGGCGAUGAACUUGUAUCCUUUCUGAGCAGCAAUGAACGCCACGCCGAUGCCGAGAUUACCACUCGUGACCCCCAGCAGCGUUGUGAUGCCAGGUGUGAUCAAGCCUUUCUCCUCUGCAUCUUCAAUCAAUCUGCAAAUUUGUUCAUCCAUUCAUAUUGUUGUCGAGACUCAUGACGUUACGUAUGGUACAUUUGAGGUGAAGAAUUUCUUCCUGGGAAGGAAACUAAAAAAGACCAGCCACCUGAGAGCACUCCGGUCCUUCACAGAGGAAAGGGGUUGGUAUGGCUCAAUCUUCCCAAUCAGCCGAGCACCUAUGCCAUCUUUCUCAGCGAUGUUUCUCAGUUCUAUCAGUGGUGUCCAACCAAUGAGCUGGAAGGCAUAGAAUAAACUUGCAAAUUAAAGAUAACAAGCUUUUUACAGUAAAGGAAUAGUGACUAUAUACAAAGAAAGUAGGCACCUGCGUGAUGUUGGUGGCGAUGCACUCCCCCUGUGAGGACAGCAGAGAUGUGCAGCAUGCCAAUGAGAUAUUAAGUUCAGAAAACCACCGAUUGGUUGGAAGCCUAGAACUUGGAACACAAGUUUCCCUGCAUGCCAAGAAACCACCGAUGGGUUGGAAGCCUGGAACUUGGACCCCAAGUUUCCCUGCUUAUAGAACAAGACAAUCAACCAUUAUGCAGAGGGUCACAAAGUGCCAAAUGUAGCCGUUGUUAGACUCGUGGUCUGUGACUUCGCUGCAAGUUGAGACGACUGGGUACGUAUUCAUGAACUGAAGAUGCUGGGGUAAUAACACAGAUUUGGCAAAGCUUCCCUGCUCUCUGAAAAGAUAAUUAGUUAAGGUGUGCGCUAUAAAACAACUCGCAGUUGUUUUGUUCAUGGCCUUGCUAUCAAACCUCCACUGUUUUAGUCAGUCGUCUUUAAGAAACGUCUGUUUCUCACGUUCAUGGUGUAUCGGAUUAUUACAAGGAAACAGAACAUUCAUCAGAGUUUUUC
This is a long non-coding RNA of Triticum aestivum (bread wheat), 1480 nucleotides long. RefSeq lists it as uncharacterized. Lineage: Eukaryota; Viridiplantae; Streptophyta; Magnoliopsida; Poales; Poaceae. The transcript has 4 exons. The record is from RefSeq and is a predicted model, not a curated record.